This 403-nucleotide ribosomal RNA is filed under the name bacterium. RNAcentral describes it as "partial 16S ribosomal RNA". It matches the Rfam family "Bacterial small subunit ribosomal RNA", at positions 355 to 776 of the family's 1533-position model. The record is from RNAcentral.
UGGGGAAUAUUGCACAAUGGAGGGAACUCUGAUGCAGCGACGCCGCGUGAACGAAGAAGGCUUUCGAGUCGUAAAGUUCUUUUAUAUGGGAAGAUAAUGACGGUACCAUAAGAAAAAGCCCCGGCUAACUACGUGCCAGCAGCCUCGGGAAUACGUAGGGGGCUAGAGUUGUCCGGAAUCACUGGGCGUAAAGGGUUCGCAGGCGGAAAUGCAAGUCAGGUGUAAAAGGCAGUAGCUUAACUACUGUAAGCAUUUGAAACUGCAUAUCUUGAGAAGAGUAGAGGUAAGUGGAAUUUUUAGUGUAGCGGUGAAAUGCAUAGAUAUUAAAAAGAAUGCCGGUGGCGAAGGCGACUUACUGGGCUCAUUCUGACGCUGAGGAACGAAAGCGUGGGUAGCGAACAGG